Molecule: ribosomal RNA, 497 nt
Filed under: uncultured bacterium
Lineage: Bacteria
Description: partial 16S ribosomal RNA
Rfam family: Bacterial small subunit ribosomal RNA
Source: RNAcentral
GAUGAACGCUGGCGGCGUGCCUAAUACAUGCCAGUCGAGCGAACGGACGAGAAGCUUGCUUCUCUGAUGUUAGCGGUGGACGGGUGAGUAACACGUGGAUAACCUACCUAUAAGACUGGGAUAACUUCGGGAAACCGGAGCUAAUACCGGAUGAUAUUUUGAACCGCAUGGUUCAAAAGUGAAAGACGGUCUUGCUGUCACUUAUAGAUGGAUCCGCGCUGCAUUAGCUAGUUGGUAAGGUAACGGCUUACCAAGGCAACGAUGCAUAGCCGACCUGAGAGGGUGAUCGGCCACACUGGAACUGAGACUCGGUCCAGACUCCUACGGGAGGCAGCAGUAGGGAAUCUUCCGCAAUGGGCGAAAGCCUGACGGAGCAACGCCGCGUGAGUGAUGAAGGUCUUCGGAUCGUAAAACUCUGUUAUUAGGGAAGAACAUAUGUGUAAGUAACUGUGCACAUCUUGACGGUACCUAAUCAGAAAGCCACGGCUAACUACGUG